GACAGAGGGGGCAAGCGUUGCUCGGAAUUACUGAGCGUAAAGGGCGCGUAGGCGGGCUGGCAAGUCGGUCGUGAAAUCCCUCGGCUCAACUGAGGAUCGUCGAUCGAUACUGCCGUUCUUGAGGAUUGCAGAGGAGACUGGAAUUCCCGGUGUAGCGGUGAAAUGCGCAGAUAUCAGGAGGAACACCGGUGGCGAAGGCGGAUCUCUGGGCCUUGCCUGACGCUGAGGCGCGAAAGCUAGGGGAGCGAACAGG
Molecule: ribosomal RNA, 253 nt
Filed under: uncultured bacterium
Lineage: Bacteria
Description: partial 16S ribosomal RNA
Rfam family: Bacterial small subunit ribosomal RNA
Source: RNAcentral